CCUGACGAAGCUCCCGGAUGUAAAUGGUCACAUGAUCACGGUCCAUGCUGAGGCGUCGGUAGACAUCUUUACGGACCGGCAGUGAAAGAACGGGACAAAGCUUUAAGAUGCCAUUCUCUAACCAAACAACAACAAAGCUGUAUGUUGGAAAUUUACCAGAGACCUGCAAAAGAAUAGAACUGCAAAAAUUAUUUGAACCAUUUGGACAGGUUGUGGAAUGUGACAUUGUUAGAAACUAUGGAUUUGUUCACUUUGCGGAUGCAGAUGAGGCAAAAACAGCAGCAGAAAAUUUAGAUGGCACACCAUUUGAAGGGUCAACCUUGAAAGUUGAGGUGUCCCACAGUAAAGUGCGACAAAAGCCUGGAAUGGGAGGCAAGGGGGAAUGCUACAAAUGUGGAAAGGAAGGCCACUGGUCCAAAGACUGUCCUAAAGGACCAACACGUCCAAAGGGCCCUCGAGCACCACACGACCAUUACAGAGACCCUUAUGCAAGGGAUGCAUAUGAUCCCUACUACAGGGACCGAUACCCUCCUCCUCACCCUCAUGACAGAUACAGGCCCUACGCAGACCCCUACGACAGAAGGCCACCACCACCCAGGGACCCAUACUACAGAGAAUCCAGAGACCCUUAUGCAAGGCCCCCACCAGAGUACUACGGCAGGCGGUCACCACCACCAUCCAGCCGAGAUCCCUACUAUGAUUACUACGACCGACGAAGAGAGAAUGGUUGAGGGGCCAACAUGACUGGAAGGCAUGGCAUGCAUAUUGAAGGGACAGGAAACUACCCUAAGUGGUCAACUUUAACCUUCUGUUUUGGCUGGCGUAGACUGGAAUCCCACUUCAGUUUGGCCGCCAUAGGCUGGAAUUGCACCACAAUAUGGCUUACAGUAGACUGGACAUCUUCUCCAGUUUGGCCGCCGUAGCCUGGAAUUGCACCACAAUAUGGCUUGCAGUAGACUUGAAAUCUUCUCCAGUUUCACUGACAUAGGCAUUCCAAUUUUGGUACCAACACUGGACUGUGCUUGGUUUUCGACAUAGUAGUCUGGAAUGCUACACCUUCAAAGUGAAUAAUAUAUUGACACCAUCAACUGGAACUUCCUCCAUCGUGACUGUCCUUGAGGAAAAUGUUUACCGUACUGUAGAACCAUCAAGAGGACAAAUAUCUGAAGAACUGCAUAAGGCUAUAUUAAAUAGUGUAUACACUUUUCAAAAUAAAAUUGUUUGUCUUUCA
Molecule: RNA transcript, 1231 nt
Organism: Mizuhopecten yessoensis (Yesso scallop)
Lineage: Eukaryota; Metazoa; Mollusca; Bivalvia; Pectinida; Pectinidae
Gene name: RNA-binding protein lark-like
Exons: 9
Source: RefSeq, a predicted model, not a curated record